GCUGAGUUUAAGCAUAUCAAUAAGCGGAGGAAAAGAAACUAACAAGGAUUCCCUUAGUAACGGCGAGCGAACCGGGGAAAUUCUAA
This 86-nucleotide ribosomal RNA is filed under the name Oxytropis maydelliana. Its description in RNAcentral is "partial 26S ribosomal RNA". It matches the Rfam family "Eukaryotic large subunit ribosomal RNA", at positions 27 to 112 of the family's 3401-position model. Lineage: Eukaryota; Viridiplantae; Streptophyta; Magnoliopsida; Fabales; Fabaceae. The record is from RNAcentral. RNAcentral also lists the same sequence under 1 other name.